Molecule: unclassified non-coding RNA, 188 nt
Filed under: soil metagenome
Description: partial internal transcribed spacer 1
Source: RNAcentral
CAGAGUUGCAAAACUCCCACAAACCAUCGCGAAUCUUACCCGUACGGUUGCCUCGGCGCUGGCGGUCCGGAAGGCCCUCGGGCCCCCCGGAUCCUCGGGUCUCCCGCUCGCGGGAGGCUGCCCGCCGGAGUGCCGAAGCCAAACUCUUGAUAUUUUAUGUCUCUCUGAGUAAACUUUUAAAUAAGUCA